Molecule: ribosomal RNA, 983 nt
Filed under: Klebsiella pneumoniae
Lineage: Bacteria; Pseudomonadati; Pseudomonadota; Gammaproteobacteria; Enterobacterales; Enterobacteriaceae
Description: bacterial SSU rRNA
Rfam family: Bacterial small subunit ribosomal RNA
Source: RNAcentral
AGCGUUAAUCGGAAUUACUGGGCGUAAAGCGCACGCAGGCGGUCUGUCAAGUCGGAUGUGAAAUCCCCGGGCUCAACCUGGGAACUGCAUUCGAAACUGGCAGGCUAGAGUCUUGUAGAGGGGGGUAGAAUUCCAGGUGUAGCGGUGAAAUGCGUAGAGAUCUGGAGGAAUACCGGUGGCGAAGGCGGCCCCCUGGACAAAGACUGACGCUCAGGUGCGAAAGCGUGGGGAGCAAACAGGAUUAGAUACCCUGGUAGUCCACGCCGUAAACGAUGUCGAUUUGGAGGUUGUGCCCUUGAGGCGUGGCUUCCGGAGCUAACGCGUUAAAUCGACCGCCUGGGGAGUACGGCCGCAAGGUUAAAACUCAAAUGAAUUGACGGGGGCCCGCACAAGCGGUGGAGCAUGUGGUUUAAUUCGAUGCAACGCGAAGAACCUUACCUGGUCUUGACAUCCACAGAACUUUCCAGAGAUGGAUUGGUGCCUUCGGGAACUGUGAGACAGGUGCUGCAUGGCUGUCGUCAGCUCGUGUUGUGAAAUGUUGGGUUAAGUCCCGCAACGAGCGCAACCCUUAUCCUUUGUUGCCAGCGGUUAGGCCGGGAACUCAAAGGAGACUGCCAGUGAUAAACUGGAGGAAGGUGGGGAUGACGUCAAGUCAUCAUGGCCCUUACGACCAGGGCUACACACGUGCUACAAUGGCAUAUACAAAGAGAAGCGACCUCGCGAGAGCAAGCGGACCUCAUAAAGUAUGUCGUAGUCCGGAUUGGAGUCUGCAACUCGACUCCAUGAAGUCGGAAUCGCUAGUAAUCGUAGAUCAGAAUGCUACGGUGAAUACGUUCCCGGGCCUUGUACACACCGCCCGUCACACCAUGGGAGUGGGUUGCAAAAGAAGUAGGUAGCUUAACCUUCGGGAGGGCGCUUACCACUUUGUGAUUCAUGACUGGGGUGAAGUCGUAACAAGGUAACCGUAGGGGAACCUGCGGUUG